CCCAGACUCCUACGGGAGGCAGCAGUGGGGAAUAUUGCACAGUGGGGGGAACCCUGAUGCAGCAACGCCGCGUGAGUGAUGACGGCCUUCGGGUUGUAAAGCUCUGUCUUCAGGGACGAUAAUGACGGUACCUGAGGAGGAAGCCACGGCUAACUACGUGCCAGCAGCCGCGGUAAUACGUAGGUGGCGAGCGUUGUCCGGAUUUACUGGGUGUAAAGGGAGCGUAGACGGCAGCGCAAGUCUGAAGUGAAAUGCCGGGGCUUAACCCCGGAACUGCUUUGGAAACUGAGCAGCUAGAGUGCAGGAGAGGGAAGUGGAAUUCCUAGUGUAGCGGUGAAAUGCGUAGAUAUUAGGAGGAACACCGGUGGCGAAGGCGGCCUGCUGGACUGCAACUGACGUUGAGGCCCGAAAGCGUGGGGAGCAAACAGGAUUAGAUACCCUCGUAAAU
Molecule: ribosomal RNA, 448 nt
Filed under: uncultured bacterium
Lineage: Bacteria
Description: partial 16S ribosomal RNA
Rfam family: Bacterial small subunit ribosomal RNA
Source: RNAcentral